RNAcentral lists this ribosomal RNA (189 nucleotides) under Neonectria neomacrospora. RNAcentral describes it as "partial 18S ribosomal RNA". It matches the Rfam family "Eukaryotic small subunit ribosomal RNA", at positions 1645 to 1831 of the family's 1831-position model. The record is from RNAcentral. RNAcentral also lists the same sequence under 4 other names. Lineage: Eukaryota; Fungi; Ascomycota; Sordariomycetes; Hypocreales; Nectriaceae.
UUAAGUCCCUGCCCUUUGUACACACCGCCCGUCGCUACUACCGAUUGAAUGGCUCAGUGAGGCGUCCGGACUGGCCCAGAGAGGUGGGCAACCACCACUCAGGGCCGGAAAGCUCUCCAAACUCGGUCAUUUAGAGGAAGUAAAAGUCGUAACAAGGUCUCCGUUGGUGAACCAGCGGAGGGAUCAUUA